AGGCGGGUGGUUUAGGUAAAUCCGGACCGCUACUAACGCUGAGAUACGAUGUCGAGCUACUACGGUAGUGAAGUCAUUGAUGCCAUGCUUCCAGGAAAAGCCUCUAAGCUUCAGAUUGUAAGGAAUCGUACCCCAAACCGACACAGGUGGUCGGGUAGAGAAUACCAAGGCGCUUGAGAGAACUCGGGUGAAGGAACUAGGCAAAAUGGUACCGUAACUUCGGGAGAAGGUACGCUCUUAUCAGUGAAGUCCCUUGCGGAUGGAGCAGACGAGAGUCGCAGAUACCAGGUGGCUGCAACUGUUUAUUAAAAACACAGCACUGUGCAAAAUCGUAAGAUGACGUAUACGGUGUGACGCCUGCCCGGUGCCGGAAGGUUAAUUGAUGGGGUUAGACUUCGGUCGAAGCUCUUGAUCGAAGCCCCGGUAAACGGCGGCCGUAACUAUAACGGUCCUAAGGUAGCGAAAUUCCUUGUCGGGUAAGUUCCGACCUGCACGAAUGGCGUAAUGAUGGCCACGCUGUCUCCACCCGAGACUCAGUGAAAUUGAAAUCGCUGUGAAGAUGCAGUGUACCCGCGGCUAGACGGAAAGACCCCGUGAACCUUUACUACAGCUUGGCACUGAACAUUGAACCUACAUGUGUAGGAUAGGUGGGAGACUUUGAAACCGCGUCGCUAGAUGUGGUGGAGUCGUCCUUGAAAUACCACCCUUGUAGUUUUGAUGUUCUAACGUUGGUCCCUGAAUCGGGAUUACGGACAGUGCCUGGUGGGUAGUUUGACUGGGGCGGUCUCCUCCCAAAGAGUAACGGAGGAGCACGAAGGUGGGCUAAACACGGUUGGACAUCGUGUGGUUAGUGCAAUGGCAUAAGCCCGCUUGACUGCGAGAAUGACAAUUCGAGCAGGUGCGAAAGCAGGUCAUAGUGAUCCGGUGGUUCUGAAUGGAAGGGCCAUCGCUCAACGGAUAAAAGGUACUCCGGGGAUAACAGGCUGAUACCGCCCAAGAGUUCAUAUCGACGGCGGUGUUUGGCACCUCGAUGUCGGCUCAUCACAUCCUGGGGCUGAAGUCGGUCCCAAGGGUAUGGCUGUUCGCCAUUUAAAGUGGUACGCGAGCUGGGUUUAGAACGUCGUGAGACAGUUCGGUCCCUAUCUGCCGUGGGCGUUGGAAAAUUGAAAGGGGCUGCUCCUAGUACGAGAGGACCGGAGUGGACGAACCUCUGGUGUUCGGGUUGUCAUGCCAAUGGCAUUGCCCGGUAGCUAAGUUCGGAAUCGAUAACCGCUGAAAGCAUCUAAGCGGGAAGCGAGCCUUGAGAUGAGUUUUCCCUGACGCUUUAAGCGUCCUAAAGGGUUGUCGUAGACUACGACGUUGAUAGGCAGGGUGUGUAAGUGCUGCGAGGCAUUGAGCUAACCUGUACUAAUUGCCCGUGAGGCUUAACCAUACAACACCCAAGGGGUUU
RNAcentral lists this ribosomal RNA (1450 nucleotides) under Vibrio sp. ZF 223. Its description in RNAcentral is "bacterial LSU rRNA". It matches the Rfam family "Bacterial large subunit ribosomal RNA", at positions 1522 to 2925 of the family's 2925-position model. The record is from RNAcentral. Lineage: Bacteria; Pseudomonadati; Pseudomonadota; Gammaproteobacteria; Vibrionales; Vibrionaceae.